Fukomys damarensis (Damara mole-rat) is the source of this 304-nucleotide long non-coding RNA. RefSeq lists it as uncharacterized. The record is from RefSeq and is a predicted model, not a curated record. The transcript is spliced from 3 exons. Lineage: Eukaryota; Metazoa; Chordata; Mammalia; Rodentia; Bathyergidae.
AUUGAAUCCUAAUUCAAAUUGAAUUAGGACAUUAUAACAAAACAUGACAUUCACUUUCCUUUUUCCUUAGGUGUUAUGGUUGUGCAUUAAAACUGAUGUCCACUUCCAAUACGUGGUGUGAUCUUGGAAUUAAUUAUUAUCGCCAAGCACAACAUUUAGGAGAAACAGGCAGCAGCGCAAGUGAUCUUAAAGAGCUACUAGAGAAAUCUUUGCAUUGUCUGAAAAAGGCAGUGAGACUUGACAGUCGUAAUCACUUAUACUGGAAUGCUCUUGGUGUGGUUGCAUGUUACAGUGGUAUUGGAAA